Molecule: ribosomal RNA, 115 nt
Filed under: Gammaproteobacteria bacterium
Lineage: Bacteria; Pseudomonadati; Pseudomonadota; Gammaproteobacteria
Also listed under: 1 other name
Source: RNAcentral
UUUGAUGGCCAUAGCAUAUGGGCACCACCUGAUCCAUCUCGAACUCAGAAGUGAAACCAUAUAGCGCCGAUGGUAGUAUAGGGUCUCCCUAUGUGAGAGUAGGUCACUGUCAGCU